This 276-nucleotide long non-coding RNA is filed under the name Elaeis guineensis (African oil palm). RNAcentral describes it as "long non-coding RNA (EGUI_LNC032659)". Lineage: Eukaryota; Viridiplantae; Streptophyta; Magnoliopsida; Arecales; Arecaceae. The record is from RNAcentral.
UCCUUUGGGCUCAACUAUUCCUUUAUUGGCGUCCUAAAAACGCUGCCUAAUCCGUAAUAUAAACUCUGAAACUGGAGUGGGUCAUGAGACAAAAAAAAAAGAAAAAAAAGGGGGCUUUUGUAGGGAGGCGUAGCAGUCUAAAAUAUAGAAGCAACUAGGGCUUUGUAACCAAUGUAUCUGGCACGGAGUUGAGUUGUUGUACGUCGCACUUGAGCCUGACCUUGGGCAACAUCGCAAUGGAAGACGGUGACAUUUUGAAUGGAGCGGAGGGAGGAA